GUACAACACAAAAUCUAAAAGACAUUAGUACUAAAACAACAGUGCCUAAGUAAUUUUAGCCGCCUCUUGCAGCUUGAGUGCUUCCUUGAGAUUUGUGAUUAUAUCAUUCAUUGAUGGACGUUUGUUACCCUCAUCGUGCAGGCAGUUGAUUGCAGUAUCUAGAAACAACUCAAAGCAGUCAGGUGAUAUUCUUCCAACCAAGCAUGGGUGAAUCGAAUGGGAAGUCACAGUCAAAAAACAUGUUUUAAUCCAUUGGGCUAGACUGACCUGUCCCUGAUUUAGCCAAUGCUCCAAUGCUUCAUUGGUGCAUAG
Molecule: unclassified non-coding RNA, 312 nt
Filed under: Hevea brasiliensis (rubber tree)
Lineage: Eukaryota; Viridiplantae; Streptophyta; Magnoliopsida; Malpighiales; Euphorbiaceae
Source: RNAcentral